This 248-nucleotide ribosomal RNA is filed under the name uncultured Roseburia sp. RNAcentral's name for it is "partial 16S ribosomal RNA". It matches the Rfam family "Bacterial small subunit ribosomal RNA", at positions 524 to 771 of the family's 1533-position model. Lineage: Bacteria; Bacillati; Bacillota; Clostridia; Lachnospirales; Lachnospiraceae. The record is from RNAcentral.
UACGUAUGGUGCAAGCGUUAUCCGGAUUUACUGGGUGUAAAGGGAGCGCAGGCGGUGCGGCAAGUCUGAUGUGAAAACCCGGGGCCCAACCCCGGUACUGCAUUGGAAACUGCCGGACUGGAGUGUCGGAGGGGCAAGUGGAAUUCCUAGUGUAGCGGUGAAAUGCGUAGAUAUUAGGAGGAACACCAGUGGCGAAGGCGGCUUGCUGGACGAUGACUGACGCUGAGGCUCGAAAGCGUGGGGAGCAA